This 440-nucleotide ribosomal RNA is filed under the name uncultured bacterium. RNAcentral's name for it is "bacterial SSU rRNA". It matches the Rfam family "Bacterial small subunit ribosomal RNA", at positions 338 to 770 of the family's 1533-position model. The record is from RNAcentral.
CCUACGGGAGGCAGCAGUGGGGAAUAUUGGACAAUGGGGGCAACCCUGAUCCAGCCAUGCCGCGUGUGUGAAGAAGGCUUUCGGGUUGUAAAGCACUUUCAGUGAGGAGGAAAACUCUGCGACUAAUACUCGUAGGGCUUGACGUUACUCACAGAAGAAGCACCGGCUAACUCCGUGCCAGCAGCCGCGGUAAUACGGAGGGUGCAAGCGUUAAUCGGAAUUACUGGGCGUAAAGCGCGCGUAGGUGGUUUGAUAAGCGAGAUGUGAAAGCCCCGGGCUUAACCUGGGAACGGCAUUUCGAACUGUCAGGCUAGAGUAUGGUAGAGGGUAGUGGAAUUUCCUGUGUAGCGGUGAAAUGCGUAGAUAUAGGAAGGAACACCAGUGGCGAAGGCGGCUACCUGGACCAAUACUGACACUGAGGUGCGAAAGCGUGGGGAGCA